UGUUACUGAAAGCUGACAAAAUAACUGGACUUCUACCGGAAAGAAAUAAUUAAUUCUUUCCCCAAAGCAGAGAUUGUUGUUAACUAUUCCAGAACGGUAACUGUUAAAGCAUCCACUCUCAGAGAUACUCUAAUGAAGACAGAAGGUUUAUAUAGGCUUGGCUAGUCCCCAUGGUAACAGCCUUUCUACUGGGUUACCAUAGGAAUCGUCAAAGCCUUUGUAAGCCUCCCUUAAUAGAGCAUAUACGCUUUCCAGGCAGACUGGAAUAUCUGUUAGAGGAUACACCUCCUGUUGUUAAAUAUAAAUAUAAACAGAUUUUGUUUUGGAGUGGUACUCAUCUCUGUUUAACUAGCUACGCUACUCUUUACGUUAGAGUUAUAUUAAACAUUGGAGUCACCUGUGAUACAGGAAAACAUGCGAGAACUGAAUGGUUUUAUGAACAAGACAACCCAUAUACGUUUGUACCUAGACUGCAGGGAACUGCAGGCAAAAAUACUGUUCUAUACAGUAGCCCAAACCUCAUAGUACAUUGCCCUUUCACCUUCCUGUGGACAUUGCAGAGCUUUAGUCAGUCUGAAGCCUUGCUGGACUGAAGUUAUACAACAGGAAACAAACAAGCAAGAAAUGGAGCCAAAGGAAACAAACAGAAACCUCAGCUGAAUGAAACAAGCAGAAAGCAAGCCAGUGAGUGACUUCAGCACUGUAAAAGUUCCUGCUCCUGAUAGCAAUUGCAGGAGUAUCAGCACCAGUAGUGGCUAGAGCAGCAGACAGAGUUAUCAUUCCUUGUCAUCACUUGGGUAAAUCAAGAAGCCCUCCUCAAACAUACCAAAGGCUGUUGUUUCUUGUCAGUUGCAUGGCAUGCAGCUGCCAUUACUAUUCUUCAUUGGAGUAACAUGGGAGAUGCAUUAAGGCACCUGGGCACACAGAAUGGAACAGGCCACAUUACUUCUCCCAUUAAAAUAGACCUUAGUUCUGGUUGCCCAACGUUGUGCUUUUCUUAGGCACCAGUGGUGCACCAUCUGCAGAAAGCACUAAGCAUGCGUGAAAAUUAAACUGUUUCAACUUAGGUGUCUUCCAUGCAUUUUGAAUGCUCUUAUCUCAGGCCUUAGCCAGAAGGAAGGGUGCUUGUGAUACUGGGCUUUGUGUUGGAAUGUAAAGUGAAGAAAACACUCCAUUUUUACUCACCCAGUAAAAAAGAAAAAGGAUUCUCUCCCUUCUAACUGCUACUCAAAUUUUAGAAAAAGAAAAGGCUAGCACAUUUUUUGGCACAGAAACACUUCCAGAUUGUGUCUUAUUUCUUUGAACUAUGCAGGCUAAGAUAAUGAUAUAAGGAUAAUUAUAUUUCAUGUUUGAAACUGAAGUUGAUAGGAGAGAAAUAUCCUUCUGUGUGGA
This is a long non-coding RNA of Pezoporus flaviventris, 1392 nucleotides long. RefSeq lists it as uncharacterized. Lineage: Eukaryota; Metazoa; Chordata; Aves; Psittaciformes; Psittacidae. The transcript has 3 exons. The record is from RefSeq and is a predicted model, not a curated record.